Molecule: long non-coding RNA, 635 nt
Organism: Capsicum annuum
Lineage: Eukaryota; Viridiplantae; Streptophyta; Magnoliopsida; Solanales; Solanaceae
Exons: 2
Source: RefSeq, a predicted model, not a curated record
CCCAUUAUCUGUGAUUUAAGGCAUUUAUUAAAUCUAAAAAAAUUAUUUUGGGAAGAUUAGAGAGAAGGAAGAGGAAUAAUUGAACAAUCAUUUUUACCAGGUAUAAUUUGGUGUGCAAAUCUAAGAAAUAUGAUUGGUUGCUAAUGACAUCCAGUAAGAAAAAGUUCGAUUUGUAUAAGAUUGGUCGAUUUCGUCAUGAGCAUACGUGUCCUUUAAAGGAUCGGGUGUAUGAGCAAAAACAUGUUAGUAGUUCAACGAUUGAAGGAAUUGUUAAGCAAAAUGUAUCCAACCAUAAAAGAUUAUAUACGGUUAAACACAUACAAGAGGAUAUUAAGAAUGAUCUUGGAUUGGAUCUGACUUAUACAAUGGCCUGGAGGGCUAGGGAGAAAGCUUUGAUUUCAUUGAGGGGUACAACGUAUGCUUCAUACAACAGAUUGCCAGAAUAUUUAUACAUGUUGGAAAAAAACAUACCCUGAUUCGCAUAUACGGAUGAAAAAAAAAAGAUAAUGAAUUCCUAUAUGUUUUUAUAUCGUUGUAUUCUUCAAUUAAAGAAUUUGAUUCAUGUAGACCAAUUGUUGUUGUUGAUGGAAGUUACCUUAGGGGAAUAUAUAAUGAAACUUUUGUGUCAGCUAUUA